UGGGGAAUAUUGGACAAUGGGGGAAACCCUGAUCCAGCAAUGCCGCGUGUGUGAAGAAGGCCUGCGGGUUGUAAAGCACUUUUGGUGGGGAAGAGCGUACUUUUGGUUAAUACCCAAGAGUGGUGACGGUACCCAAAGAAGAAGCACCGGCUAACUCUGUGCCAGCAGCCGCGGUAAUACAGAGGGUGCAAGCGUUAAUCGGAAUUACUGGGCGUAAAGCGCACGUAGGUGGUUAUCUAAGUCGGAUGUGAAAUCCCCGGGCUUAACCUGGGAAUGGCAUACGAUACUGGAUGACUAGAGUCUGGUAGAGGGUGGUGGAAUUCCAGGUGUAGCGGUGAAAUGCGUAGAUAUCUGGAGGAACAUCAGUGGCGAAGGCGGCCACCUGGACUGAGACUGACACUGAGGUGCGAAAGCGUGGGUAGCAAACAGGAUUAGAUACCCUGGUAGUCCACGCCGUAAACGAUGAGAACUAGACGUUGGGCGGGUUAAACCGUUCAGUGUCGCAG
RNAcentral lists this ribosomal RNA (506 nucleotides) under uncultured Pseudomonadota bacterium. RNAcentral's name for it is "bacterial SSU rRNA". It matches the Rfam family "Bacterial small subunit ribosomal RNA", at positions 355 to 851 of the family's 1533-position model. Lineage: Bacteria; Pseudomonadati; Pseudomonadota. The record is from RNAcentral.